Molecule: ribosomal RNA, 501 nt
Filed under: uncultured bacterium
Lineage: Bacteria
Description: partial 16S ribosomal RNA
Rfam family: Bacterial small subunit ribosomal RNA
Source: RNAcentral
AUUGAACGCUGGCGGCAGGCUUAACACAUGCAAGUCGAGCGGGGGAAGGUAGCUUGCUACCGGACCUAGCGGCGGACGGGUGAGUAAUGCUUAGGAAUCUGCCUAUUAGUGGGGGACAACAUCUCGAAAGGGAUGCUAAUACCGCAUACGUCCUACGGGAGAAAGCAGGGGAUCUUCGGACCUUGCGCUAAUAGAUGAGCCUAAGUCGGAUUAGCUAGUUGGUGGGGUAAAGGCCAACCAAGGCGACGAUCUGUAGCGGGUCUGAGAGGAUGAUCCGCCACACUGGGACUGAGACACGGCCCAGACUCCUACGGGAGGCAGCAGUGGGGAAUAUUGGACAAUGGGGGGAACCCUGAUCCAGCCAUGCCGCGUGUGUGAAGAAGGCCUUAUGGUUGUAGAGCACUUUAAGCGAGGAGGAGGCUACUCUAGUUAAUACCUAGGGAUAGUGGACGUUACUCGCAGAAUAAGCACCGGCUAACUCUGUGCCAGCCGCCGCGGUAA